GCAUCUAUAAGGCAAACUUUUCAUGCAGUUUAGUGAUGAAAUCAUUAGUUAUUAAAUCAUGAAUGAAUGCGGGAGAAGUGUUAGUCAACAAGAUAUCAUCAACAUAGACAAGAGCAUAAAGUGUAAUACCUUGAUAAUUAUAAAUGAAUAAGGAGUGAUAAUUGCUUGAUAAAAACCAAAGUGAAUAACAGAUUGAUGAAGCUUUUCAUACCAUGUCAUAGGAGCUGGCUUAAGGCCAUAUAAAACAUUUUUUAACUUGCAUUCUAUAUUAGAGUUUGAGCUAACAAAGCCAGGUGGUUGUUGCAUGUAAACCUCUUCUUGACUCCCACCAUUGAAAGCAUUAUUUACAUCUAUUUGUUGAACUUCCCACUUGUAAGUAAGAGCUAGAGACAAAAUAAUUUUGAUGGUUGUUACCUUAACAAUAAAGGGAAAAGUCUCAUGAAAAUCAAAACCCUAUUGUAUUUAUUAAUGCUUCCAUUAAAAUUCUCCUUGAUUUUGAAAAUCCACUUGCACUCUAUGGAUUUUCUGUGAGGAGGAAAGGUGGUAAGUGUCCAAGGUAUUCACUCUUCAUAGCAUCAAAUCACUGAGGUUGAACCAAAGCUUGCUUUGAGUGUAGGGUUCUGAACAAGCUAUAAAGACCUCUGGUUUGAAGUUUUCAAUUUUAGAUCGUGUGAGCAUAUGGUUGUUUUCAAAUUUAUGCUAAUCGGCUCGAGCUGAUGCACGUGCUACAUGUUUUGAACGGCUUUUGGAAUUUCAUAAUGAUAUUAUACUAGGAGUCAAUGCAAUGAUAUUGUUCCAAGCAGCUACUUGAGCUUCAGAAUUGGCUCCAAAAUCAGACAAACAAGUUGAAGAAGAACAAUCGCAGGUUUUACACGAAGUUAUGCUAAAUUCUGUCGACCAAUCAGGGAAACUUUUGAGCUCAUCAAGUACAAAUCCAAAGGAGAUUUUGGAGAAGAAAGGUUCUUCCCUGGAACCUAUUGUUAAAAAUGAUGAGAAUAAGAAACAAGUAUCUUGCAGCUUAAGCAACACAAUCAAGUUGGGAAAACAUAAAACAGAAGCUGGGAGUUGGUUCAUGGAUUUCAUUGAGAAGGCAUUGGAAGCGGGUUUGAAGAAAACAAAGGAAGCAUCAAAGGGGAAUAUUAGUAAAGUUUCUCAGUCUCUCAUAAUUAAAAGCUAUUAUGAACUGGGUUGAGGUAGAACAAUACUAUAUAAUAACAAGAGGCUUAGCCAUCCUAAAGCGGCGCAGAUUGCUCGGAAGUUAAGAAUAAAGAUUAAGAAUCCUUGAAUGGUGAUGAAGUCUUCUCAAGUUAUAUGUUUUUGGCUGCACAUAUAUUAUUAUGUUUUGAGAAUUAUUUAUCUUUAAUUCUUAGCCUCUAGCCAUGCAAUUUACAAUAGUUUGUAUUGUUUCUUUUCUAUCAACUUAUUCUUAGUCUCUUUUAGUCAUAUAUUUGUAAAAUUGUAGUUCCAUCGGCAUUCAUUAAUCUGUUAUUAAUGUGUGCACUUGUGUAACAUAAUCAUU
Long non-coding RNA from Vicia villosa (hairy vetch), 1519 nucleotides. RefSeq lists it as uncharacterized. NCBI's taxonomy places the organism in Eukaryota, Viridiplantae, Streptophyta, Magnoliopsida, Fabales, Fabaceae. The transcript is spliced from 2 exons. The record is from RefSeq and is a predicted model, not a curated record.